CUACUCUUGACAUCCUGCGAACUUGGUAGAGAUACCUUGGUGCCUUCGGGAACGCAGAGACAGGUGCUGCAUGGCUGUCGUCAGCUCGUGUUGUGAAAUGUUGGGUUAAGUCCCGUAACGAGCGCAACCCUUGUCCUUAGUUGCCAUCAUUUAGUUGGGGACUCUAAGGAGACUGCCGGUGACAAACCGGAGGAAGGCGGGGACGACGUCAAGUCAUCAUGGCCCUUACGAGUAGGGCUACACACGUGCUACAAUGGCAAGUACAGAGGGCCGCGAAGCCGCGAGGUGGAGCUAAUCUCACAAAGCUUGUCGUAGUCCGGAUUGGAGUCUGCAACUCGACUCCAUGAAGUCGGAAUCGAUAAAAGGGCAAAUCAGAAUGUUGCGGUGAAUACGUUCCC
RNAcentral lists this ribosomal RNA (398 nucleotides) under uncultured bacterium. RNAcentral's name for it is "bacterial SSU rRNA". It matches the Rfam family "Bacterial small subunit ribosomal RNA", at positions 975 to 1375 of the family's 1533-position model. The record is from RNAcentral.